AUGUCGAUACUCCUGAUCAGCUGAUCGUUGCAGUAUGCAGCAAACUCCUGUUGAUGGAGUAAGUUGUGUUACGUAAUGUUUUAGUUUUACAGCCAUUCCCGUCUGGAAUUAACACAUAUCAUCUCAUUUCGGUAAUUAAUAAACUUUAUAAUAACACAGGAAAACAAAUUAUAAAUUAUAUAAACUCAUUCAAAUUCUGUGUGUGUGUGUUUGUGUGUGUACCUAAUCUUUAAAUAAUCAUGUACAAUAAUUUUGAUUCAGACUGUUGAAGCAAAAGUCCGCAAAAAUACAUUGUUGCAACAUGUUUAUUUUUUAUAUUGAGGCUUUAUAUAUUUUUUAUUCAAACAGAUAUCUGGUUUUGCUGGUUUGUAGCUGACAAAAUAUCCAGUCACUAUCCAAAAUCAUCGCCCACCCACCACCCAAAAUAUUCAAAUUUCAUGUUCAAUGCAAUUUACACACAUAUACAAUUUAUAGCACAUUUAUACAUGAAAAAAAUCAAGUUACCAUUUUAUAUUUUGUGAUAGUGAGAUAUAGAUGACAAAAGUGUUAAUGUUUCUAUGUUGUAUCUUUCAAAUAUGAAGUUUCGAGCCAAGUCAUGCCAGACACCGAUGCCCAGAAAGUACAGGUCCCCAGUCCAUCAUGGUGUAAAGUCGCUGUCCAGUGUACACCAGAAGCAUGGCACACCGUGCUUCACAGUAUGAGGUCCCACAAUGAUAUGGAAGAGUAUAAAUGCGACAAAACCCUUUCCAUAUUCAUAUGAAAUCUCUGUAAAAAACAGUUGAUGGUACGAUUCUGACUAAAUCAUGAGCAUGUGUUAAUGAAUCGCUAUCAAAUAGUGAUAAUACCAGGUGUUCACGAAAGGUGAGAGUAUCCUGCCCCACCGAUGUCACAAGAAAUCCCUGGUGUUGAGAUCCAUUUUCAUUGUGUGCAAAUUGUGUUUAUUUUCAUGCAGAGUUACAAGUCAUAAAAUAUUAGAGUGUCUUGUGAGGUACAGUGCUUCAGAGAACAAGAGAGCUGUACUUUUGAAAUAGUCAACCAGUGCACUAACAAGUUACCACUGAGCAUUCAGCCAGUGCUUGUGAUAUUUUCUUCAGUCUUUUCCCCGGCCUUCGCCCUUGCCCAAAACUACCUGAUCCAGCAUCAGCCAUCCUGUAUUACAGAAACUUAUCAAAUGAAACAGCAAAGGCUGAUUGUUGUCAGAGACCAUAAAACAAGAUUUCAAUGAAAAAAGUUUAUUUUAAUGAGCAUAGAGAAAAACUUUCCAUACAUCAGAUGGAAAUCUUUCAUGAAUCACCUCGACAACACAAGAUGGAAUAACUUUUCUCUGAUUCUUCAACUAUUUCUGCAAAUCCCCAAAGUGAACCUCUUGUUUAUGAGGUGUAGAUAGAUUCUGAAAUGAAAAAGUGUCUUUUAUCAGUCAAAACUAUGCACAACAUUACACAAAAAUAUCAUACCAUUUACAUAUAUAUUUUUGUCAUUAAAUCUGGAGGGAUGCUUAUAUAAGAAGUAACUUGUAUUGAUGUUAUAUGCAUAAUUUUUAUUACAUGUUAAUAAUUCAAUAAAUACCAAAACAGUUUAUAGUUCUAUCAUGUUGACAUGAUGUGUUUAUUACUGUAGGUUUGAAUACUUCUUGAAAUAUUGUGGGCAUGUUUCAAUAUCACUGAUGUAAUUUAAUAACCUUACAAGUUACAUAUGCUUUCACAACUUGCUGGCAAAUAAACAUUUAUGGUACUC
Haliotis rufescens (red abalone) is the source of this 1734-nucleotide long non-coding RNA. RefSeq lists it as uncharacterized. The transcript is spliced from 2 exons. Lineage: Eukaryota; Metazoa; Mollusca; Gastropoda; Lepetellida; Haliotidae. The record is from RefSeq and is a predicted model, not a curated record.